Molecule: unclassified non-coding RNA, 520 nt
Filed under: uncultured Glomus
Lineage: Eukaryota; Fungi; Glomeromycota; Glomeromycetes; Glomerales; Glomeraceae
Also listed under: 1 other name
Description: bacterial SSU rRNA
Rfam family: Eukaryotic small subunit ribosomal RNA
Source: RNAcentral
AGCAGCCGCGGUAAUUCCAGCUCCAAUAGCGUAUAUUAAAGUUGUUGCAGUUAAAAAGCUCGUAGUUGAACUUCAGGCCUGUCCAGAUGGUCCGCCUUAAUUGGUGUGUACUGUCCUUGGGUGGGUCCUACCUUCUGGCGAAGCGGCAUGGCCUUAGUUGGUUGUGUUGGGGAACCAGGACCUUUACUGUGAAAAAAUUAGAGUGUUCAAAGCAGGCAUAAUAUGCUCGAAUACAUUAGCAUGGAAUAAUGGAAUAGGACGAUGGUUCUAUUUUGUUGGUUCUAGGACCGUUGUAAUGAUUAAUAGGGAUAGUUGGGGGCAUUAGUAUUCAAUUGUCAGAGGUGAAAUUCUUGGAUUUAUUGAAGACUAACUACUGCGAAAGCAUUUGCCAAGGAUGUUUUCAUUAAUCAAGAACGAAAGUUAGGGGAUCGAAGACGAUCAGAUACCGUCGUAGUCUUAACCAUAAACUAUGCCGACUAGGAAUCAGACGAUGUUAAUUUUUUAAUGACUCGUUUGGCAC